GAUGAACGCUGGCGGCGUGCCUAAUACAUGCAAGUCGAGCGAACAGACGAGGAGCUUGCUCCUCUGACGUUAGCGGCGGACGGGUGAGUAACACGUGGAUAACCUACCUAUAAGACUGGGAUAACUUCGGGAAACCGGAGCUAAUACCGGAUAAUAUAUUGAACCGCAUGGUUCAAUAGUGAAAGACGGUUUUGCUGUCACUUAUAGAUGGAUCCGCGCCGCAUUAGCUAGUUGGUAAGGUAACGGCUUACCAAGGCAACGAUGCGUAGCCGACCUGAGAGGGGGAUCGGCCACACUGGAGCUGGGACACGGUCCAGACUCCUACGGGAGGCAGCAGUAGGGAAUCUUCCGCAAUGGGCGAAAGCCUGACGGAGCAACGCCGCGUGAGUGAUGAAGGUCUUCGGAUCGUAAAACUCUGUUAUUAGGGAAGAACAAAUGUGUAAGUAACUAUGCACGUCUUGACGGUACCUAAUCAGAAAGCCACGGCUAACUACGUG
RNAcentral lists this ribosomal RNA (497 nucleotides) under uncultured bacterium. Its description in RNAcentral is "partial 16S ribosomal RNA". It matches the Rfam family "Bacterial small subunit ribosomal RNA", at positions 28 to 507 of the family's 1533-position model. The record is from RNAcentral.